GUAGUCGGAGCCGUGCACUCGAGCCAAUGGUGAUCGUGCAACGUCGUUGGGAACACACUGUGCGCUCCUUAACGUCAGUCUCGUCGCGGUGCUCCGUCUUUGCACGUCACGUCGUCACGUAGCGUAACGUAACGUAACGUUCUCGAGAAGAGAGACCGACGCGUUAUCGGGAAGAGACGAUCGGGCCGCGAUUCAGCUGUCAUCGUCGCGUACGACACGCGCGAUCGAUCCGAGUCACGCGAGACUCUCUCGUUUCCCUACGAGGAGGAGAGGCGCGACCGCUCGCUCAACCGAUCGCCGAGCACUCACGAUCCCGUCGGGGCCCCGUCGUCGUGCUAAUCGCGUUUAAAGACCGCGUGGAAGCUGCAACUCUUCUUCGGUUCACGUAGCCCGCAGCGGGACCCGCGCAGAACGCAGAGCUCCGGUCGCCUUCGAGGCGAGUCUUCGCCGAGAGGGCAUCCACCUGGGCGGUGGACAGCGUCAUCCGGCACGAGCAGCUCGACGGUCGACGACUAGGUCGUCGUCCAGUGAGGCAGGCGACAUCGCGGACCCAGGCAGGCCGACGAAAGGUCACGCCAUGCCGGCAGGUAUUGGCGCUUCGUACAGGUCCCUAGGCGACCUGGGCGAAGACGUCUACAAAAGCACGACCAUCGUCGACCAGACGCAGACCACCAGCCAGAGCGUCCUCGAGUCCGUGAAGAAGGCGUUUAGCUUCGCCUCGCCCAAGGUCGAGAUCCGCAAGAAGGACCCGCUGAUCGAGGACCGCCGCGAGAGCGUCUCGAUCGUCUCCAGGGAGAGAAACAGGAUGCCGACAGCAGCAGCCACCGCCGAGGAAUCUGCUCUGUUGGGCACGAUGCCCUCCGAUAGCAUGGACGACAUCGAGCUGAAGAACAUUCAGCUGCAAUUUCCGGCUCUGAGAUACCUCUCUAGGGACGACGGCUCCGUGCGGGAAGAAAGGGUGGAGACCGACAAGGGAAGUUUGCUGGUGGCGGUGCAAGGAAAUCGAGCGAAACCAGCUAUCCUCACUUAUCACGAUCUAGGCCUUAAUUACAUCUCGAGCUUCCAGGCGUUCUUCAAUUACAUCGACAUGCGUGUUCUACUCGAAAACUUCUGCGUGUACCACGUAAACGCACCCGGGCAAGAGGAGGGCGCACCGACGCUACCCGAGGACUACACCUAUCCGUCCAUGGAGGAGCUCGCGGAACAGCUGCUCUUCAUUCUCGGCCACUUUGGCAUCAAGUCCGUAAUUGGCUUCGGGGUCGGUGCCGGCGCCAAUAUCCUGGCGCGAUUCGCACUCGCCCAUCCGGAGAAAGUUAAUGCACUGUGCCUGAUAAACUGCGUGUCCACGCAGGCGGGAUGGAUCGAGUGGGGUUAUCAAAAGAUGAACGUGCGCCACCUGAGGUCGCAGGGCAUGACCCAGGGCGUCCUCGAUUAUCUGAUGUGGCAUCAUUUCGGCAGGGGGACCGAGGAGCGAAAUCAUGACCUGGUGCAGGUGUACAAGAACUACUUCGAGCGCCGCGUGAACCCGACGAAUCUCGCCUUGUUCAUCGACAGUUACGUCCGUCGCACGGAUCUCAACAUAACGAGGGAAUUGGACCCGACGCGCAAGAAGGAGGGCCUGACGCUUAGGGUGCCGGUGAUGAACAUCACCGGUGCUCUAAGCCCUCACGUCGACGACACCGUAACGUUAAACGGACGCCUGGAUCCGACGAACAGCUCCUGGAUGAAGAUAUCGGACUGCGGCAUGGUGUUGGAAGAGCAGCCCGGUAAAGUAAGCGAGGCGUUCCGGCUGUUUCUCCAGGGCGAGGGAUACGUGGUGAGAUCCCCGCGGAAGCCCGUGAAGCCAACAACACCCGAAGGUAAUUGUAAUUAGGAAUUGAAGGCCGCAAGGAGUCGAGCGCGCAGUUGGUCAAUUAGGCCACGUCUAUGCGUUAAUGGCCCCGCUGUCGCCGUUAAAGAUGGCCGACUACAGAUUGGCUUCGUUGGAGGGACUGAAUCACGUCUGCAGCAAGAAGAUCGACUGGCCUACCGCGACCAUACACAUCACGGAGAAUCCGAUAUCGGAGGCAGUCGUUUGUUAAGAUGUCGAUCGCCGAAUUUCAUCACCGCCAUCGAUUUUCGUUACGCAAUCAAACGAGCAUACAAUCGGAAGACGACGCGGCGACUUGGAUGUCGGUAGCUUUAGGAAGGUUUCGUCGGGGCAACGAUCCCUCGCGGCACUAAUAAAAACGCGCUGGUUUCUUUCCGGAAGCUUCUGUCGGCACCGCACUUACUUUUGGAACCGCGACUUUCAGCUGGGUCGACCACACGCGUUCGUAAUAAGUGUUUAAUUCUAAAUAACUAUAAGUUAAGAGCUUUAAAAACGGUUUUUAUUACUUAAGAGAUAUCGGAUGUUUUAUCUGCGGUUGUUCUUGGGUACGCGCAUUGUUACUAAUAGCGAGCGGCGUCGAUUCGUUAAGGAUACGGAUAAGAGAAUAAUGUUAACGUUGCGUACGACCACGUUGAGUUUCAAGCCGAGUCCCACUUUCGGGACUUUUCACGAACGGUGCGGCGCGACUUUUUCAGAAUACCGUUCGCUCUUUUUAUCAUCAUGAGAGCAAUGUUUGCAAUCGUUUUAGCGGGUGUUUACAGUUGUUUGAGAAACAAUUUAUUUGAAUGGCAGGCGGGUGUUUCUUAAAGUUUCGAUGAUUCUCAAACGAACAUUCCCCUGCGAAUAUUUUAAUAUAUCAUUAUCCGAAGAGGUUUAAGAGAGAAAGAGAGAGAGAGAGAGAAAGAUGAAAUGCGAAUAAAAAUGUUCAACACUUCGACGUGUACUUCUAUACGUGUGUGGGUAUACACGAAAGCCGUGACUUUGUAAUGUCAAAACUCGACAGACUUGAUGAUUAUGAAUUUUCGUACCAAUACGCGUAACAUUUUACACGAUAAUAACGUUCACGAAAAGCAGAAAAGAAGAGGCUCCUCCGAUAUGAGUGAGAGGAAACUCGCGUGUAAAUUUUUAAUUUCGAAAAAAAGAGAACCCAAUAUAACGGUAAUUCUAAUAAAAAUCGACGAAGAAAUAAGUCACGUCGUCGCGAAACGACGAGAAAAAGUGUGAUAACACGUUGCAAAAAAAAUGUGCACCUCCGCUUUUCGUGCUCGUAAGAAACUCGGAGAGAGACUCACGGUAGAUGUAAAGGACCAGCAGAAAUUUUUAACGACUUGCACACAACUUCUCGCCAAGUGACGUCCAAAAAGAAAAAGAAUUCCGCCGCAUGGUGUAUAUAACGCGUGGAAGUACAUUCACUGUUUUACGGACUUUUUUAUUGUUAUAUAUAGGAAGAAAUACCACUACUACUUUCCAACGAAGUCAUUGUCAACGAAGAUUAUAAUUGACGAGAAAGAGCCCUGCGACGAGGACAAUUUUUCCGUUACACUUUGCGACGUCAACGAAGAGAGAAAGAAAGAAAUGGGAGGAUCGCUUGAGCACGUCGUUAUGUUUCUCUGCUUCGUCGUUCGCGUCUACUUUGAUUCGCGAACAAUCGACCAGUCCCGAGUAAAAAUGUAAAGCUCGUAUCCGCCACGCGUGACCGUGACCAUUUUUUGUUUCUCGCUCCUUGACACGGCUCGACGUUAUCCAAAAUAUUUCGCGAUUUCGAGAUAACGAGAUUGAAACGCGGUAGUGAAGCACUAGUGUCGAUAUAAACGAUUACGAAGUAGGUAUUACUGUUACUGUUGAUAGUCAGAUAUCCUUGGUGAGUUCGCUUAUACAGCUCAUCACAGUCUAACGACGAGAUCAACGGAGUAUAAAACGAAAGAUCGACCAUGUUCUUUCAACGAUUCGAGAGAGAGAGAGAGAGAGAGAGAGAGAGAGAGAGAGAGAGAGAGAGAGAGAGAGAGAGAGAGGGAGAGAGAGAGAGAGAGAGAGACGGCAGCUUCUCGCGAUAUGAGAUUCGGUGUUCCCGUCAUGGACAUUAUCCCUGAAGAGGGAAAUGUUUUUGACUACCUACGAUUCCUGCUCCUUUAAUCGAGCUGGGGAUUCGCUCGUUCGUUUGCACCGUUUGCAUCAUUUUUUUUUAUUAAUAAGAGAAGAGAUUGCCCGCAUAAACAAGGAGGAAAGUGCAUGUGAGAAUGCUAAUGUUUAAAGACGAAGUGUAAGAGAGGAAGGAGAAACGAGGAUACGUAAUUAGUCGUUACAAGAGUAAGAAGAAGGAAGGAGUAAGGGACAUACAACAAAAGUCGAGAGAACUCGGUGUCUCUGUACGGUUUUACCGGGCUUAUUCGAGCCUCUAGCGUGAUAUGAUAAGACGUGCCUGCUAUACGAUGUCGUACGUAGCUUUCGAAAGUGUGUUUCACAGCUUUUUAGUUUUCUAUAUAUACAUAUUAUGAUUCUCUCUCGCGCGGUGCUCCCCCCCCCCCUCUCGCGAAAUUCAUCACUUUUCGCGCGUCUUCUCUCGAAGUAUUUUCACAUUUCACGACGAUCGGCGCAUCGACAUAUCUUUUUCUAAAUCAAUUUUAACCAAGGUGAUUGGAACUGAUCGAGCGCGUGUGUAACGAACUACGACGAACAUUUUGAAUCGAAAAUUUUUUAAACAAAACGACAAGAAAGUCAAUAAUAUUGAUAAAAUGUCGGUCGCACGCGACAUCGCGUCGGAAACGGACUCCCUUGGGAAAGAAAAAAAGAAAAGAAGAAAAAGAAUUCCGGAAGUUCGCCAAUUCGAGACGUUUACAUUGAACAUCGAUCGCAUCGAUAUGAUGUGCAUAUCGCGACAAUAGUUUACAAACUUGUGUUACCUUCUUCUUAUUUCGGAGCAGAUAAUAGGUGAUGAAAGAGAGAACGCGAGAACGAAGGAGAAAGUCGAAACAGCGGACAAUCUCGAGGGACAGGAGGUUUAAGCGUUUCGUGUAAAAGAGAGUUUAUAAGAAUAUAUAUAUAUAUAAUAAAUAUAUAUAUAAAUAUACGUCGCAUUAAACUUAGAUUAUCGCAGAGAGAUGAGGCAGAGUGAUAGUCGAGUGCGUAGUGUUAAGAUUAUAUAUACGGGGCUCGAUACGAGACGAUUGAGAGGAGCGCACGCAUUAAUCAUUGCUAACGCGAACGCUACUAACGGAUAACGUAGCUUUUAAGGACUACCGAUGCUCCGCCGUUAAUCCCUUCGUUUCCGGAUAGACAAAUUCCCCCGCGGACACUUGCCGAUCAUUGGACGCGAAUUAUCUGGACGCUCAACGACAACGAAUUUGUUGAAUCUGCACAUCGACGUAACGUAUUGAAUUUAAUUAGACAUAUCGGCCGAGCCCAAUAUUACGCGCGAUAGUACCAUGAAAUUGUUCGUCGACUGAUCGGUCUCAAUCCCGAAUAUUCGCCCCCCACGUUACUCGCGAGACGCAUAUCAAUGAAUUUUUAAACGACUUUUCGACAACAAGAAGGAUCUGUCGGAUUUGCAUGUUGCAUCUUAAUUGGCACACGUCCACGUCAACAUCGAAGAGUAUCGCUCGGAAAAAAAAAAAAGGAGCGCGA
Molecule: RNA transcript, 5491 nt
Organism: Harpegnathos saltator (Jerdon's jumping ant)
Lineage: Eukaryota; Metazoa; Arthropoda; Insecta; Hymenoptera; Formicidae
Gene: MESK2
Gene name: misexpression suppressor of KSR 2
Exons: 10
Source: RefSeq, a predicted model, not a curated record